UGGGGAAUAUUGCACAAUGGGCGCAAGCCUGAUGCAGCCAUGCCGCGUGUAUGAAGAAGGCCUUCGGGUUGUAAAGUACUUUCAGCGGGGAGGAAGGCGAUAAGGUUAAUAACCUUGUCGAUUGACGUUACCCGCAGAAGAAGCACCGGCUAACUCCGUGCCAGCAGCCGCGGUAAUACGGAGGGUACAAGCGUUAAUCGGAAUUACUGGGCGUAAAGCGCACGCAGGCGGUCUGUCAAGUCGGAUGUGAAAUCCCCGGGCUCAACCUGGGAACUGCAUUCGAAACUGGCAGGCUAGAGUCUUGUAGAGGGGGGUAGAAUUCCAGGUGUAGCGGUGAAAUGCGUAGAGAUCUGGAGGAAUACCGGUGGCGAAGGCGGCCCCCUGGACAAAGACUGACGCUCAGGUGCGAAAGCGUGGGGAGCAAACA
Molecule: ribosomal RNA, 427 nt
Filed under: uncultured bacterium
Lineage: Bacteria
Description: partial 16S ribosomal RNA
Rfam family: Bacterial small subunit ribosomal RNA
Source: RNAcentral